This 477-nucleotide long non-coding RNA is filed under the name Cricetulus griseus (Chinese hamster). RNAcentral describes it as "lncRNA (ENSCGRG00000026285.1)". Lineage: Eukaryota; Metazoa; Chordata; Mammalia; Rodentia; Cricetidae. The record is from RNAcentral.
AAGAAGGGCAGGAAGUCUGGCGGCGUGGCAGCUGGGCUCCCGGAGCCAGCCUGGAGGCGCGGAGCUCUUGGAAUGCGCAUGUGCACAGCUUGGGGCGAGGCGGGUGGGCGCGGGAGGAGCUUGAGGCAGGUGGAGACCGGGGAUUUAGGGCGUGAGCGGUGAAAUUGAGGCUUCUGGAACUCUUCUCUCCAGCAGGUCACCGUGGAAAAAGGGCAAACUUGUGUGGCCUAGGGCAGGGUAGACGCGUCGAGAACAAUGAACGCCAGAUAAAUGCCUCCUGAUUUUCUUCAGAGAAGCCUCAGUGUUUCAGGGAGAGAGGUCUUGGCUUUCCCUUGGCUGGAAUCUUCUGUCUUCAACAUCUGGAAGAUUCUUCUUGCUCUGCCUUCAGGACUCAGUUUAGGAGGUGACAUCUUUGAUUGUCUCCCCAACGUUUACUCAGCAUGUCAGCACAGGCUGCUUCAGUGUACUCUCUGUUGA